CUUAAUUAAUACACAAUUUAUCUUUUCCUUCAGGUUAUUUAUUUCUCAGUCAAAACUCUUGGUUGCCUGCAAGAAACGGAUGCUGGCCCUGUUAAGCAUAAGGGAAUUUAUUGGAAGGACACGAGAGUUCUCAGCAUGGAUAGGUAGCUUGAAAACCAAGCUUAGGAAAGAGGAACUAGACCCAGUCCACAGCCCAAGCACGUUAAUUGGAUUGGGCUGCACUAUGCCUCUUGCCAGUGAUCAUUUUAGGCAUUACCAUGUGCCACCAUUCUGGGCAGUAAGAAAUCAGGAGAAGCUGCUAAGGUAGGGGGCAAGAGGAGACACUUCUGUAAAAAAUUUAACUUGCUGAGAAAAAGAAACUGAAGGAAGAAAGAGUCCCUUUAUCUACCCCAUACACACAUUUUUUUUGGCAGAAAAAUGGUGUCAGUGAUUGAAAGAGUGAGAAAGUGAACAGACCCUGUCUUAGUUUGUUUGGGUUUCUAUAACAAAGUACCAUAACUGGGGAGCUUAUGAGCAACAGAAAAUUAUUUCUCACAGUUCUGGAGGCUGGAAAAGUCCAAGAUCAAGAGGCCAGCAGAUUCAGUGUCUGGUGAGAGACCAUAUUCUGGUUCAUAGAUGGCACCUUCUUGCUGUGUCCUCACACGGCGGAAGAGAUAAGAGGUCUUUCUUGGGCCUCUUUUGUAAAGGCUCUAAUCCCAUUCUUGAGGGCUCUUCCCUAAUGACCUAAUUAUUUCCCAAAGCCCCCCCAUCCCAUUCCCCCAGACUUCGGGGUUAGAAUUUCAACCUAUGAAUUUUGGAAAAACACAAACAUUCAGACCAUAGCAAAUGCUUUCAGUUUUUCAAGGAUCUUCCACCAUGAGUAUCCUGCUUCAUUUUUAAAAUCACCCUGAGAAAUGGAGAAAAUGUAGUCUGGUUGAUUCACACUCAGGUCCCAGAGUUAAACAGAAUCCUGUCUUUGCCGUUAGCUAGCUGCGGUGAUGUGAAACAAGUUAAUUUACCUCUCUGAUCCUCUGUUUCUUUAUCAAUAAAAUAAGAACAAUAAGAUUCCCUAUUUCAUGGAGCUUACUUUGUGGUUGCCCUGUGAAGAGGGCAGCAUCAACCUCCCCCAACCCCGAAUUGGUUCAAAUAUUGAAAUUGAUGAUGUCACAAGUGCACCAAAAGGGGAGGAAAAUAUUUUUUACUCAGUUCAUGAGUCUUUUUGGGAGGGUUUGGGAGGCACCC
RNAcentral lists this long non-coding RNA (1221 nucleotides) under Pan troglodytes (chimpanzee). RNAcentral's name for it is "lncRNA (ENSPTRG00000053567.1)". The record is from RNAcentral. Lineage: Eukaryota; Metazoa; Chordata; Mammalia; Primates; Hominidae.